UAAAAACAAACUAUUUGAACGAAUAAAUAGUAUUUAGUAGUCAAAUAAAACAUAAUAAUAUUAUAGUCAUGACAGCCAAAUUUAAAACUCAAAUUAUUCAAUUAAAAAAUAAUUUAACUUAAUAAAAUAUAUAAUAUAUAAAAUACAAUAAUUUAGAAGUCUAAAUUAGAACCAUUUAAAGUAUAAUAAUAAUAAUAAUAGAGUUCAACAUCCAAAUUAAAAUGCUAUUUAAGUAAAUAAAAAUAUUAAUUAUAAAAUUCUAUACUGGCUGAAAUUAUAUCCUACACUAAAAGCCCAAAUUAGAGCCCAAUUAGUAUACAACAACCACAUUUUAUGAAACCCUAACUAAUGAUGCGCCACUCUCACUCUCUCUCACCGUCUCUCCCCAUUAACCGCCGCCGCCUCACACACCUAGCCGCCACCGCCGGGCACCUCCUCUUGUCCGUCGGCCCACCGAACAACAAUCUCCAUGUCGCCGCAGUAGUACCUCCAGCUUGCGCCCCUUCAACACACAGCCGUGCCUCAGCCGCCGCCGGGCUCACCGUCGUGCUGAACACCAGCUUCUGGCCGCCUCACCCGCCAGCUCCCUCAUCUCCUAACUCCGGCACUUUUCUCUUUUCCUCUCCUUUUUCUUAUUCUCCAGCGAGAAAGAUCAGAUCUUUGAAUGAAUCUGCCGCCGCCGCCGUACUUCUCUCUCUCCUUCCUCUUCUUUCUCGUCUUCUCAACUUUCCUCCAAUCUUUCUCAUUCCGUAUCCUUCGAAUCCUCUCGGCCAGCUGCUACCUUGCCGCCACCGCCCCGUCUCCCUCAGCCUGCCGCCCUCUUAUCGGAGUUGUCGCCGGAUUCCAAGCACCCUGCUAUGUUGCAAUCAAAAAUCAGAAAAUCAGUCCAAAAAAAUUGUAGAUUCAAUUAAUGUUACGUCUAUAUAAAUGUCCUAAACUUCUUGGAGAAGCUAAUUUUUCUGUAUUUCAUUGGUCAAAUUUGUAUCCAAUAAUAUCUGUCUCUUUUCUGUCCAAUA
Salvia hispanica is the source of this 1016-nucleotide long non-coding RNA. RefSeq lists it as uncharacterized. Lineage: Eukaryota; Viridiplantae; Streptophyta; Magnoliopsida; Lamiales; Lamiaceae. The record is from RefSeq and is a predicted model, not a curated record.